Long non-coding RNA from Nanorana parkeri, 841 nucleotides. RefSeq lists it as uncharacterized. The transcript has 2 exons. The record is from RefSeq and is a predicted model, not a curated record. Lineage: Eukaryota; Metazoa; Chordata; Amphibia; Anura; Dicroglossidae.
CUGUAUAGGAGAUUAUUGGGAGAGGGACGCUUUCGGAACCAAGUGCUUGUUACAUGGCUGACUGUUAGGGUCUAAGUCUAGUGCUUGUCAAAAGUGGCCGAUGGUUUGAGAUUAUGAAAUUUCUAUACAGGGGUUUUAUUUUUCUUUUGGUCUCCUUUUUUUUUUUUUCUCCUCCUAUACACAAAGCAGCAGUCAGCUAAAACAGGUCAUCGCACGAAUGAAGUAGCUUGAUAAGGGCUGCCAGCUGACUGAAUGCCAGUCCAAUACUUCAUACGUAAAUUAAGGUAUUUUCCAAGCCUAUAUCGCUUCAAAGCCCAACCUGCCAAAGAACGAUCCUGUAGCUCCCAAGAACAGCAGAACUGUCAAGGAAAAAAAAAAUCACAUUCACUCAUUUUAAAGAUGCGAGCUUCUUCUGUUGCCUACUAACGGCCUAAUCAAACACGUGUAUCUAGUUCUAUAUAUCACUCCUCUAAUAAGCUUAGUAGCAUCGCCAAUGACUUCUAUUAUUUAUGGACCCUGCAAGCGCAAACAGGUAUGAUACUGGAUCAUUGGGGGGGGUCCCCAUUACGCCAUGAUGGGGAAAGGUUAGCAAUGCAUACAUAAACAAGAAUUGAUGGAUACUUGGGUUAAUGUGCAUGGAUUUUUUUUGUUAUUGUCAUGUUACAUCUCUGUAUUUAUAUCUUGAUUGUUUCACUUUCCCGUGUAUCAUGGCAAUUGUACAGAUAUUUUUCUUUUUUCUUUCGUUGCAUUAACAUGUAUGUGAUAGAAUUUGCUAAAAAAGGAAAUAAGAAGAAAAAAAAAUCCUGAGUUUGCUUUAGAAUAAAUUCAAUUUAUGUUUAAA